CGGUAAAACGCGCUGGAGGACCGAACCCACGUAAGUUGAAAAUUGCGGGGAUGAGUUGUGGGUAGCGGUGAAAUUCCAAACGAACUUGGAGAUAGCUGGUUCUCUCCGAAAUAGCUUUAGGGCUAGCCUCGCAAAGAGGAUGCUGGAGGUAGAGCUCUGUUUGGACUAGGGGCCCGUCAAGGGUUACUGAAUUCAGAUAAACUGCGAAUUCCAGACAUUUAUGUGCGGGAGUCAGACUGCGAGUGAUAAGAUCCGUAGUCGAAAGGGAAACAGCCCAGAUCACCAGUUAAGGUCCCAAAAUUCAUGCUAAGUGGAAAAGGAUGUGGAGUUGCGCAGACAACUAGGACGUUGGCUCAGAAGCAGCCAUCAUUCAAAGAGUGCGUAAUAGCUCACUAGUCGAGUGACGCCGCGCCGAAAAUUUACCGGGGCUAAGCAUGAUACCGAAACUGUGGAUGUGCAUUUAUGCACGUGGUAGGAGAGCGUUCUAGCGGCGGUGAAGCAUGACUGAGAAGACAUGUGGAGCUUCUAGAAGUGAGAAUGCCGGUAUGAGUAACGAAAGACAGGUGAGAAUCCUGUCCGCCGCAAGAC
This 588-nucleotide ribosomal RNA is filed under the name Lactobacillus delbrueckii subsp. bulgaricus. Its description in RNAcentral is "partial 23S ribosomal RNA". It matches the Rfam family "Bacterial large subunit ribosomal RNA", at positions 754 to 1345 of the family's 2925-position model. Lineage: Bacteria; Bacillati; Bacillota; Bacilli; Lactobacillales; Lactobacillaceae. The record is from RNAcentral.